RNAcentral lists this transfer RNA (73 nucleotides) under Stegodyphus mimosarum. It matches the Rfam family "tRNA". Rfam says of the family: Transfer RNA (tRNA) molecules are approximately 80 nucleotides in length. Lineage: Eukaryota; Metazoa; Arthropoda; Arachnida; Araneae; Eresidae. The record is from Rfam by way of RNAcentral.
GCCUUUGUGGUGUAGUAGUCAGCACCCUCGACGAGUAUUCGAGAGGUCGUAGGUUCGAGUCCUGGCGAGGGCA